CCUACGGGAGGCAGCAGUAGGGAAUCUUCCACAAUGGGCGAAAGCCUGAUGGAGCAACGCCGCGUGAGUGAUGAAGGCCUUCGGGUUGUAAAACUCUGUCAUUCGGGACGAACCGGAGUCUGAGGAAAUGCAGACUCUCUGACGGUACCGGAGGAGGAAGCCCCGGCUAACUACGUGCCAGCAGCCGCGGUAAUACGUAGGGGGCAAGCGUUGUCCGGAUUCACUGGGCGUAAAGCGCGCGCAGGCGGUGAUGUAAGUCUGAGGUGAAAACCCGAAGCUCAACUUCGGGACUGCCUUGGAUACUGCGUCACUUGAGGAUAGGAGAGGCAAGGGGAAUUCCACGUGUAGCGGUGAAAUGCGUAGAGAUGUGGAGGAACACCUGUGGCGAAGGCGCCUUGCUGGCCUAUUUCUGACGCUGAGGCGCGAAAGCGUGGGGAGCAAACAGGAUUAGAUACCCUGGUAGUCCACGCUGUAAACGAUGAGUGCUAGGUGUAGGUGGGCUCAUACCCAUCUGUGCCGAAGCUAACGCAUUAAGCACNCCGCCGUGGGGAGUACGGUCGCGAGCUGAAACGUUAAGGAAUUGACGG
RNAcentral lists this ribosomal RNA (587 nucleotides) under uncultured bacterium. RNAcentral describes it as "bacterial SSU rRNA". It matches the Rfam family "Bacterial small subunit ribosomal RNA", at positions 338 to 916 of the family's 1533-position model. The record is from RNAcentral.